RNAcentral lists this ribosomal RNA (492 nucleotides) under uncultured bacterium. RNAcentral describes it as "partial 16S ribosomal RNA". It matches the Rfam family "Bacterial small subunit ribosomal RNA", at positions 29 to 507 of the family's 1533-position model. The record is from RNAcentral.
AGUGAACGCUGGCGGUAGGCCUAACACAUGCAAGUCGAACGGCAGCACAGUAAGAGCUUGCUCUUACGGGUGGCGAGUGGCGGACGGGUGAGGAAUACAUCGGAAUCUACUUUUUCGUGGGGGAUAACGUAGGGAAACUUACGCUAAUACCGCAUGCGACCUACGGGUGAAAGCAGGGGAUCUUCGGACCUUGCGCGAUUGAAUGAGCCGAUGUCGGAUUAGCUAGUUGGCGGGGUAAAGGCCCACCAAGGCGACGAUCCGUAGCUGGUCUGAGAGGAUGAUCAGCCACACUGGAACUGAGACACGGUCCAGACACCUACGGGAGGCAGCAGUGGGGAAUAUUGGACAAUGGGCGCAAGCCUGAUCCAGCCAUACCGCGUGGGUGAAGAAGGCCUUCGGGUUGUAAAGCCCUUUUGUUGGGAAAGAAAAGCAGCAGGUUAAUACCCCGCUGUUCUGACGGUACCCAAAGAAUAAGCACCGGCUAACUUCGUG